Molecule: ribosomal RNA, 500 nt
Filed under: uncultured bacterium
Lineage: Bacteria
Description: partial 16S ribosomal RNA
Rfam family: Bacterial small subunit ribosomal RNA
Source: RNAcentral
GACGAACGCUGGCGGCGUGCCUAAUACAUGCAAGUCGAGCGGACCUCUUCGGAGGUCAGCGGCGGACGGGUGAGUAACACGUGGGCAACCUGCCUGUAAGACUGGGAUAACUCCGGGAAACCGGAGCUAAUACCGGAUACUAUGUCAAACCGCAUGGUUUGACAUUCAAAGACGGUUUCGGCUGUCACUUACAGAUGGGCACGCGGCGCAUUAGCUAGUUGGUGAGGUAAUGGCUCACCAAGGCGACGAUGCGUAGCCGACCUGAGAGGGUGAUCGGCCACACUGGGACUGAGACACGGCCCAGACUCCUACGGGAGGCAGCAGUAGGGAAUCUUCCGCAAUGGACGAAAGUCUGACGGAGCAACGCCGCGUGAGUGAUGAAGGUUUUCGGAUCGUAAAACUCUGUUGUCAGGGAAGAACAAGUGCCGGAGUAACUGCCGGCACCUUGACGGUACCUGACCAGAAAGCCACGGCUAACUACGUGCCAGCCGCCGCCGUAA